Long non-coding RNA from Monodelphis domestica (gray short-tailed opossum), 2177 nucleotides. RefSeq lists it as uncharacterized. NCBI's taxonomy places the organism in Eukaryota, Metazoa, Chordata, Mammalia, Didelphimorphia, Didelphidae. The record is from RefSeq and is a predicted model, not a curated record.
CUUGAGCUUUUCUCCUUUGCAUGUCAUUUCUUCUGACUGUUCCCAUUUUUCUCAAUCACAGUAAUCUACUAUGAAGAAAUAUACUGACUGAGGAUCUUAUUUCCAGUCUGACAAGUAAGGAAAAGGAUCAGGCAGCUUCUGCAGCUCCAGCUCAAAGAACCACAAGUCAAGAUAAACUCUUCACUAGUGCCCAAUUCAACUCAAGAAACCAGGAACCCACGAAGAAUUAUUUAAACACUUGAACAAAGGCUUUGUUUUCAUUUGGACUUGCCCUGUUUACCAGUUUAUAAGUGCACUAUUCUCUAUAGAAUGCAGGCUAUACAAGUUUCCAUAUCAACAGUCAUUCAGAAUCUAAUACUUGGAAUGGAAAGGUGUGCACAGUUGAGCAGAAGAAAAUGUGAUUAUGAGUGACAUGUUGACAGGUUCAGUGCUCAUGUCCCACAGUGCCUUGUGUAUCCAUUAUGUAUUUAGGAUUCUGCCUACCCCACCCUUCUCCAAGACAUCUGAGAAAUACGAAAAGGGGAAAGAGAAUAAAAUCAGAAGAUCCUCAAAAUAGGAAAAACUUGCAAGUGGCAUGAGUGGUAGUAUGAAACUAAAUGAGGCAAGUUAAAAAAAGAAAUGGAACAAUAUUUUCUUUUAAUGUAACAAGUUUCUAUUUUAGGUCGUGCCUAUGCCUGGGUCCAUGUGAAAUCUAAAAAUUGCUUCCUAAGUGAAUGAAAGAAAUUUAUGGGGUAAUUUACUUUGUUUGUAAGCUGCCAUGUUUUUUAUUAUCCUUAACUAUCCUACCAUCUUCACAGUCGAUGGUGAAAUCCUGCCAACUUCUCAGGUGACAUUUCCAUGGGUUUUAUUUUAGAAAAAAACAUCCAGAGCAUCACUUGACUAUUCCAUGAAACAUCCAUAAGGAAUAUUUAGGAAGAAAGUGUUGUUCUCCUAAUAAAAUAGCACAGCUGUCUCAAAGAGCUUUUCAUCUAUCUUUUUAAAAGAUGUGGACUUUCUAAAAUAAUGUCGUGCCCAUUUGUCUCCUAUGAAAGAAGAUAUUUCAAAACCAGGAACACCUAUCAUAAUAAACCAUUAAGAUGACUCCAGCCUUUCAGUGUAUUUUUAGAAUUUCAUAUUUCACCCAAUGUUGUUAUAUAUAAUUCAUGAUAGUGGGAUAUGAUGGGAUAUGACAGUUAUCUCAUUUGUGUAGAAGGGCCAAAUAACUCAUGGCUGCACAUCCACAAAUAAAUUAUGCCCAUCCUCAAUCAUAAGUUCUUAUUUUGUUAGUCUCUUCAUUUUAAUGGAUUUUCUUCUUUAUAUUAAUAUUUUUAUGCAAAUGAUUGUGACUCAAUAUCAAUUUUGUUGUCCUGACAGAAAAUUCCUGGGAAUCAGUUUUACCUGUUUAAAAUGGAAGUGCUAACAAAGCAUUCAGUAUCAUAUACCAUUAUCCAGGAAAGAGGGACUUAGAACUGUAAUUCUUUGGGGGGAAAAUUCAUACCAUAAGAUUGCAUUGUGUCACACAUGGGCAGGAAAAACCCUGUGUUCAUUUUCUAUACUAUGUGUUUCAACAUCAUGGUUGGGACUUUCCAGUUCUCCUUUUCUUCCUAUAUUCAAUUUCAAAGGACCUUCUUCUGUUUCUGAGAUUUAAAUGCUCUACUUGACUCUGAAAAAUCUCAACCCUAAUUCUAGAAGGCCUACAAUAGCAUAAUAUAAACAGAAAGUAGGUAGAUUUGGGAAAGAGAAGAACUCAAAAAACAAAUAGACAAUCUGGGUUAGAAGAAAAAUAAAACUAUUUCAUGUAAAUUAAAUCAAUAAAGUUAAAAUGAGAAAAAAUCUCUUGAAGGGUAAAUAUUUUGCAUCAAUAUAAAAAGCUUUAUAAAGAAGAAUUGUGAUAAUCAUAUAACACCAUUGUUCAUAAUUCAUAGAUCCAGAGUUAGAAUAUUAAUUAACAGAUUCUAGCCCAAUUUUCCCAGUCCUAGUUUGGGAAUGAGAAACUAAAAUAAAAAAAUAAAAUGACAGACCAAAGAUCACACAAAAUACUAUUUUACUAUAAGAAAGGUCAAAAGAGAUUGUUUCAGAGAAUCCUGGUUACUAUAAAUGUGUAAUAUAGUCAAGUUAGCAAUCAGAAGAAUUUCAAGGACAAUAACAUUGUGAAGGAAAAAUAUUUAAAAUAUUUAAAAACAAAAUGCAAUGAUCAA